GUGCUUGCUUUAGCAGCACAUAUACUAAAAUUGGAAUGAUACAGAGAAGAUUACCAUAAUCCCUGCACAAGGAUGAAGCGCUCCGUAAUUUUAUUUUUCUGUUUUUC
This is a small nuclear RNA of Echinops telfairi (small Madagascar hedgehog), 107 nucleotides long. Lineage: Eukaryota; Metazoa; Chordata; Mammalia; Afrosoricida; Tenrecidae. The record is from Ensembl.